GGACAAUGGGCGAAAGCCUGAUCCAGCAAUACCGCGUGUGUGAAGAAGGCCUGAGGGUUGUAAAGCACUUUCAAUUGGGAGGAAAACCUGUCGGUCAAUACCCGGCAGCUUGACAUUACCUUUACAAGAAGCACCGGCUAACUCCGUGCCAGCAGCCGCGGUAAUACGGAGGGUGCAAGCGUUAAUCGGAAUUACUGGGCGUAAAGCGUGCGUAGGCGGUUAUUUAAGUCAGAUGUGAAAGCCCCGGGCUUAACCUGGGAACUGCAUUUGAUACUGGGUAACUAGAGUUUAGUAGAGGAGAGUGGAAUUUCAGGUGUAGCGGUGAAAUGCGUAGAGAUCUGAAGGAACACCAGUGGCGAAGGCGACUCUCUGGACUAAAACUGACGCUGAGGUACGAAAGCGUGGGUAGCAAACAGGAUUAGAUACCCUGGUAGUCCACGCCGUAAACGAUGUCAACUAGCCGUUGGGUCUUUUAAUAGACUUAGUGGCGCAGCUAACGCAUUAAGUUGACCGCCUGGGGAGUACGGCCGCAAGGUUAAA
RNAcentral lists this ribosomal RNA (540 nucleotides) under uncultured Methylobacter sp. RNAcentral describes it as "bacterial SSU rRNA". It matches the Rfam family "Bacterial small subunit ribosomal RNA", at positions 366 to 898 of the family's 1533-position model. Lineage: Bacteria; Pseudomonadati; Pseudomonadota; Gammaproteobacteria; Methylococcales; Methylococcaceae. The record is from RNAcentral.